CGUCUUGUCGUCGUCGGCAUUCCAAUGGCUUAGUUUAAUCGUUAGUCGACCGCAGAGAUAGAAUCGAAGGCUGGAAGCUCCUGCUGCUCCGACGAUUUCUGUGUAAAUUCUGGCGGCUCCGGCGACGGAUUGACCUGCAUGUAAUAUGAAAAUCAAUCACCUCGUUAAGCUCUGCACUGUAGUGUAUUUAGUUUUUGAAUUCGAUCAAGUGUUGAUUAAUUGUGUUUUUAGUUGGUUUCGGACGCCGUCGCCGGGAAGCGGCGGCUGUUUUUGGCUUCUCUGAAUCCAUCUUCAUUGACCUCCAAAAGUAUAACCUGAGGUUUGGACUCUCUGUCUCUUUCUCUCUCUCUCUCUCUCUGCCUGUUCCAAAUACAAUUUGCAGGUCAAAUAUUGAAUAGGAAAUUGAAUUUGGUGUGAAAAUUUAAGAUCAGAGAGCAGCUGACGGUGAAAAUGAGUUUUGAAGAAUGGAAGACGUUUCCUUUGUAGUCUGUCAGGGAGAGAAUUGACCCAUUCUAACAGGACAAAGUGAAACGUUUUUUACUGAGCCUAACAAUCAUUUUUGGACAUCUUCCAAACGGCACGUGUGAAUCACGUCCUGUUAAAUCCCAUAUGGAUAACCACCCCAGGUGGUCAGCAGACACUCUCCUUGAUCGAACUCAUUCAUCACACCACCAUCAUCAUAAUGGGUCCUAGUGUCUUACCCAGUGAUUUACGGAGUUGUCGGGUCAGUGGGUUAACGGAUUGAGUAUGUGUAAACGAAGUGUCAGGUAUGGAAAUUUUAGAUGGAGACAGAUGAGGCCGGAGACACGGAAAUUUGGGACAGAGGUCUCCUAAGUCCCAAAUGACACAUUUCUGAACAGAAAUUUCACAACCUAUACAUGCAAGCCAAAUCAAACAUCGAAUUGCACAAUUGUCUAGUACAACGGCAUUCAAGAUGUCAGCCGGUCAGUUAUGGAUUGACUGCAUUGUCUGACUGAUGGACUUGUCUAGAUUGAUCAUUGCACGGCAGGUGUCGCCGCCCCGUCUUCGUCUCUGUCUCCGUCUCCGAUCGAUCUCGCCAUGACCUUUCUCGCGCGGUCCUCCAGCUCCACGGAGAUGUCCG
RNAcentral lists this long non-coding RNA (1102 nucleotides) under Rosa chinensis. Its description in RNAcentral is "sRNA RchiOBHm_Chr6g0295171". Lineage: Eukaryota; Viridiplantae; Streptophyta; Magnoliopsida; Rosales; Rosaceae. The record is from RNAcentral.